RNAcentral lists this ribosomal RNA (483 nucleotides) under uncultured bacterium. Its description in RNAcentral is "partial 16S ribosomal RNA". It matches the Rfam family "Bacterial small subunit ribosomal RNA", at positions 30 to 506 of the family's 1533-position model. The record is from RNAcentral.
AUUGAACGCUGGCGGCAGGCCUAACACAUGCAAGUCGAGCGGAUGAAGGGAGCUUGCUCCUGGAUUCAGCGGCGGACGGGUGAGUAAUGCCUAGGAAUCUGCCUGGUAGUGGGGGAUAACGUCCGGAAACGGGCGCUAAUACCGCAUACGUCCUGAGGGAGAAAGUGGGGGAUCUUCGGACCUCACGCUAUCAGAUGAGCCUAGGUCGGAUUAGCUAGUUGGUGGGGUAAAGGCCUACCAAGGCGACGAUCCGUAACUGGUCUGAGAGGAUGAUCAGUCACACUGGAACUGAGACACGGUCCAGACUCCUACGGGAGGCAGCAGGGGGGAAUAUUGGACAAUGGGGGAAAGCCUGAUCCAGCCAUGCCGGGUGUGUGAAGAAGGUCUUCGGUUUGUAAAGCCCUUUAAGUUGGGGGGAAGGGCAGUAAGUUAAUCCCUUGUUGUUUGAACUUUACCAACAGAAAAAGCACCGGCAAACUUCGU